UACGGAGGGUGCAAACGUUGCUCGGAAUCAUUGGGCGUAAAGCGCACGUAGGCGGCCCAUCAAGUUGAAUGUGAAAGCCCUGGGCUCAACCCAGGAUGUGCAUCCAAAACUGAUGGGCUCGAGUUCCGGAGGGGAUCAGGGAAUUCCCGGUGUAGAGGUGAAAUUCGUAGAUAUCGGGAGGAACACCAGUGGCGAAGGCGCUGAUCUGGCCGGACACUGACGCUGAGGUGCGAAAGCGUGGGGAGCAAACAGG
This 253-nucleotide unclassified non-coding RNA is filed under the name uncultured Myxococcales bacterium. RNAcentral describes it as "contains 16S-23S intergenic spacer region". It matches the Rfam family "Bacterial small subunit ribosomal RNA", at positions 524 to 776 of the family's 1533-position model. Lineage: Bacteria; Pseudomonadati; Myxococcota; Myxococcia; Myxococcales. The record is from RNAcentral.